CAGCUCCCUUGAGUGGUGGAGGGGUGGAGGCUCAGUGAAAGGUUCCUGUUCUGAGAUGUGAGGGAUGCUGGAGCUCACUGGCAGAGCUGUGUGAAGACAAUUUAAUCCUGCAGCCCUUGGGGUGCAUGGCUGUAGCUAAGGCCAUCACCCAAUUUUGGCCUUCAAGAUGUUGAUGUCACCCUGUGAUAACAACAUAUCCCUUUAAAAUAAAGGGACCCCAGGCUGUCCCCAUGGAAAGAAGGCAUGGAAGAGGAAGAGAAGCCAUGAGGGACAUGGAGUCUGACAGGGUCUACAUCUGCAGAUGUAGAAAGACACCAACUAGGAGAAGUAGUUUUUGGCAGUGUUGAACCUAAAUAUGUAG
This is a long non-coding RNA of Alligator sinensis (Chinese alligator), 361 nucleotides long. RefSeq lists it as uncharacterized. The transcript is spliced from 3 exons. The record is from RefSeq and is a predicted model, not a curated record. Lineage: Eukaryota; Metazoa; Chordata; Crocodylia; Alligatoridae.